CUUGCUCCUGGGUGGCGAGUGGCGCACGGGUGAGUAAUACAUCGGAACGUGUCCUAUCGUAGGGGAUAACUGAUCGAAAGAUCAGCUAAUACCGCAUAAGACCUGAGGGUGAAAGUGGGGGAUCGCAAGACCUCACGCGAUUGGAGCGGCCGAUGCCCGAUUAGCUAGUUGGUGAGGUAAAGGCUCACCAAGGCGACGAUCGGUAGCUGGUCUGAGAGGACGACCAGCCACACUGGGACUGAGACACGGCCCAGACUCCUACGGGAGGCAGCAGUGGGGAAUUUUGGACAAUGGGGGCAACCCUGAUCCAGCCAUGCCGCGUGCAGGAUGAAGGUCUUCGGAUUGUAAACUGCUUUUGUCAGGGAAGAAAAGGUCUGUGUUAAUACCAUAGACUGCUGACGGUACCUGAAGAAUAAGCACCGGCUAACUACGUGCCAGCAGCCGCGGUAAUACGUAGGGUGCAAGCGUUAAUCGGAAUUACUGGGCGUAAAGCGUGCGCAGGCGGUUCUGUAAGACAGAUGUGAAAUCCCCGGGCUCAACCUGGGAAUGGCAUUUGUGACUGCAGGACUAGAGUUCAUCAGAGGGGGGUGGAAUUCCAAGUGUAGCAGUGAAAUGCGUAGAUAUUUGGAAGAACACCAAUGGCGAAGGCAGCCCCCUGGGAUGCGACUGACGCUCAUGCACGAAAGCGUGGGGAGCAAACAGG
This 703-nucleotide ribosomal RNA is filed under the name uncultured beta proteobacterium. Its description in RNAcentral is "bacterial SSU rRNA". It matches the Rfam family "Bacterial small subunit ribosomal RNA", at positions 75 to 776 of the family's 1533-position model. Lineage: Bacteria; Pseudomonadati; Pseudomonadota; Betaproteobacteria. The record is from RNAcentral.